RNAcentral lists this ribosomal RNA (253 nucleotides) under uncultured bacterium. RNAcentral describes it as "partial 16S ribosomal RNA". It matches the Rfam family "Bacterial small subunit ribosomal RNA", at positions 524 to 776 of the family's 1533-position model. The record is from RNAcentral.
UACGUAGGGUGCAAGCGUUGUCCGGAAUUAUUGGGCGUAAAGAGCUCGUAGGCGGUCUGUUGCGUCGGCUGUGAAAACCCGAGGCUCAACCUCGGGCCUGCAGCCGAUACGGGCAGACUAGAGUUCGGCAGGGGAGACUGGAAUUCCUGGUGUAGCGGUGAAAUGCGCAGAUAUCAGGAGGAACACCGGUGGCGAAGGCGGGUCUCUGGGCCGAUACUGACGCUGAGGGGCGAAAGCGUGGGGAGCGAACAGG